Molecule: ribosomal RNA, 384 nt
Filed under: Triticum aestivum (bread wheat)
Lineage: Eukaryota; Viridiplantae; Streptophyta; Magnoliopsida; Poales; Poaceae
Description: partial small subunit ribosomal RNA
Source: RNAcentral
AUGGCUUAUGUAUCAGGGCUUCGGCGCCAGCUCAGCGGUCGGCUGCCGGCCCUCAUCUCGCCAUUGACCUUGCUGGCCGAAGGGCGGCCAUCUAUCUUCCUCCCGGCCUGGAGCCUUGAAGGGAGGCAGUUCAUCUCUGGUUUGGAGUCCCCAGCUUCUUCUAAUGGUAGCGGAUGGAGCGGCUGUGGAGAUCCCGGCGCACCAAGUGGUAGCGUCCCCGGCGGCGACGGGAUUGGUUCUGUUCCAGAGUUGAUUAGGACCCGAUUGAGUUUCUUAUUUCCUGUUUGGGGUCCUCCAUGCAAAAACCAGGGACCUAGUGGUAGUUUCCGUUUAUGUUUGGGUCCUGUUGUAAUCUGCUUUGUACUAUCACCGUUUAAGAAUUAA